RNAcentral lists this ribosomal RNA (640 nucleotides) under Staphylococcus sp. RNAcentral describes it as "bacterial SSU rRNA". It matches the Rfam family "Bacterial small subunit ribosomal RNA", at positions 116 to 743 of the family's 1533-position model. The record is from RNAcentral. Lineage: Bacteria; Bacillati; Bacillota; Bacilli; Caryophanales; Staphylococcaceae.
CGUGGAUAACCUACCUAUAAGACUGGGAUAACUUCGGGAAACCGGAGCUAAUACCGGAUAACAUAUUGAACCGCAUGGUUCAAUAGUGAAAGGCGGCUUUGCUGUCACUUAUAGAUGGAUCCGCGCCGUAUUAGCUAGUUGGUAAGGUAACGGCUUACCAAGGCAACGAUACGUAGCCGACCUGAGAGGGUGAUCGGCCACACUGGAACUGAGACACGGUCCAGACUCCUACGGGAGGCAGCAGUAGGGAAUCUUCCGCAAUGGGCGAAAGCCUGACGGAGCAACGCCGCGUGAGUGAUGAAGGUCUUCGGAUCGUAAAACUCUGUUAUCAGGGAAGAACAAAUGUGUAAGUAACUGUGCACAUCUUGACGGUACCUGAUCAGAAAGCCACGGCUAACUACGUGCCAGCAGCCGCGGUAAUACGUAGGUGGCAAGCGUUAUCCGGAAUUAUUGGGCGUAAAGCGCGCGUAGGCGGUUUUUUAAGUCUGAUGUGAAAGCCCACGGCUCAACCGUGGAGGGUCAUUGGAAACUGGAAAACUUGAGUGCAGAAGAGGAAAGUGGAAUUCCAUGUGUAGCGGUGAAAUGCGCAGAGAUAUGGAGGAACACCAGUGGCGAAGGCGACUUUCUGGUCUGUAACUGA